RNAcentral lists this transfer RNA (65 nucleotides) under Tetraphalerus bruchi. RNAcentral describes it as "tRNA-Trp". It matches the Rfam family "tRNA". From Rfam's summary of the family: Transfer RNA (tRNA) molecules are approximately 80 nucleotides in length. Their secondary structure includes four short double-helical elements and three loops (D, anti-codon, and T loops). Further hydrogen bonds mediate the characteristic L-shaped molecular structure. tRNAs have two regions of fundamental functional importance: the anti-codon, which is responsible for specific mRNA codon recognition, and the 3' end, to which the tRNAs corresponding amino acid is attached (by aminoacyl-tRNA synthetases). tRNAs cope with the degeneracy of the genetic code in two manners: having more than one tRNA (with a specific anti-codon) for a particular amino acid; and 'wobble' base-pairing, i.e. permitting non-standard base-pairing at the 3rd anti-codon position. Lineage: Eukaryota; Metazoa; Arthropoda; Insecta; Coleoptera; Ommatidae. The record is from RNAcentral.
AAGGAUUUAAGUUAAAAAAACUAUUAGCCUUCAAAGCUAAAAAUAAAGAUACUCUUUAAGCCUUA